CGGGAGGCGGGGAGAGGCCCAGGCCGGGGAGGGAGGCGGGGGCAGGCGGAGGUGACAGGACCUGCGGGCCCCGCGAGGGGACGGCGGCGCGGGCGUGUGUCGGCCGGGAGGCAGCCGGCAGACCCAGAGCGCGCGCGCCGGAACGCGACUGCUUUUCUCCGACGGGGAAGCGAGCGGGACUGAUCAGCGGUCGGUUUGUCAGGUUCUGGGUCUUAAUAUUUAUGCAGAGGUGACCGAAAGCCUUGAGCAUGGGAGGAAAAUCUAGAGGAUAUAUGGCUAUCAGCCUAGAAUGAGAGAGAACCACCUGACCAGUACCUGGAAUGAAACAUGCAUGCUGGAUGUUAUGCAUUAUGUUCUGAUGGAUUGUACUGAUGAACCCUGUACUUACGCCAUGUGAAUACACAGAGACAAAUAUGAAAAACAUCAUGUGAAAAUAGAGAUUGGAGUGAUGGGUGUCUCCUAGCCAAGAAAUGCCAAGUAACCACCAGAGGCAAGAAGAGAGGCAUAGAGAGUCGAUUCUCCCUCAGAACCUCCUGAGGGCAUCAAACUGCCAACACCUUCAUUUUGGACUUCAGCCUCCAGAAUUGUGAGAGAAUACAUUUCUGUUGUUUUAAGCCACCCAGUUUGUGGUACAGAGGGAAGAAAUUCUGACCCCAGGUCAGCCUCUGAAGCAUUCAGUGGACUUGGCUAUGCUGAAUCUAAGCUACGCUGAGAAGGAUCUCUUAGUAUACAGAACAGACAUCAAAUUUAACUGCAGAGACAUUUUACUUAGGAGAUCAACUAAGCAACUCCAUGAUUUAUAUCACUGAAAAAAAAAACAAAACAGUGGCUAUUAAUUAGAAGCUCCCUAAGCUUUCUAUACCUCAUCUAUUCUUUGAAGAGACUGCCAAUGAUAAUAUAUCAAGUUAUUUUAAUAUCCACUCUGUAGAGAUAAUAGUGUUUGUAAUAUUGAGAAAAGUCCUUUGAGAAAUAUAGAGGAAAUAUUUGGUAAAACACCAGAACAGAAUUUUUUAAAGAACACAUUGUCAGCAAAUAAAAGAACUACUAAGAGAA
This is a long non-coding RNA of Mustela erminea (ermine), 1053 nucleotides long. RefSeq lists it as uncharacterized. Lineage: Eukaryota; Metazoa; Chordata; Mammalia; Carnivora; Mustelidae. The record is from RefSeq and is a predicted model, not a curated record. The transcript is spliced from 4 exons.